AGUGAACGCUGGCGGUAGGCCUAACACAUGCAAGUCGAACGGCAGCACAGUAAGAGCUUGCUCUUACGGGUGGCGAGUGGCGGACGGGUGAGGAAUACAUCGGAAUCUACUUUUUCGUGGGGGAUAACGUAGGGAAACUUACGCUAAUACCGCAUACGACCUACGGGUGAAAGCAGGGGAUCUUCGGACCUUGCGCGAUUGAAUGUGCCGAUGUCGGAUUAGCUAGUUGGCGGGGUAAAGGCCCACCAAGGCGACGAUCCGUAGCUGGCCUGAGAGGAUGAUCAGCCACACUGGAACUGAGACACAGUCCAGACUCCUACGGGAGGCAGCAGUGGGGAAUAUUGGACAAUGGGCGCAAGCCUGAUCCAGCCAUACCGCGUGGGUGAAGAAGGCCUUCGGGUUGUAAAGCCCUUUUGUUGGGAAAGAAAAGCAGCAGGUUAAUACCCCGCUGUUCUGACGGUACCCAAAGAAUAAGCACCGGCUAACUUCGUG
RNAcentral lists this ribosomal RNA (492 nucleotides) under uncultured bacterium. Its description in RNAcentral is "partial 16S ribosomal RNA". It matches the Rfam family "Bacterial small subunit ribosomal RNA", at positions 29 to 507 of the family's 1533-position model. The record is from RNAcentral.